Molecule: ribosomal RNA, 253 nt
Filed under: uncultured bacterium
Lineage: Bacteria
Description: partial 16S ribosomal RNA
Rfam family: Bacterial small subunit ribosomal RNA
Source: RNAcentral
UACGUAGGGGGCAAGCGUUGUCCGGAUUUAUUGGGCGUAAAGAGCGUGUAGGCGGUUAUGCAGGUCCGCUGUGAAAACUGGAGGCUUAACCUCCAGACGUCGGUGGAAACCGUAUGACUAGAGUCCGGAAGAGGAGAGUGGAAUUCCUGGUGUAGCGGUGAAAUGCGCAGAUAUCAGGAAGAACACCCGUGGCGAAGGCGGCUCUCUGGGACGGUACUGACGCUGAGACGCGAAAGCGUGGGGAGCAAACAGG